This 69-nucleotide transfer RNA is filed under the name Cordylochernes scorpioides. Its description in RNAcentral is "tRNA-Gly". Lineage: Eukaryota; Metazoa; Arthropoda; Arachnida; Pseudoscorpiones; Chernetidae. The record is from RNAcentral.
UGCAUCGGCCGGGAAUCGAACUGGGCCGCCCGCGUGGCAGGCGAGCAUUUACCACUGAACCACCGAUGC